AACGAACGCUGGCGGCAUGCCUAACACAUGCAAGUCGAACGAGACCUUCGGGUCUAGUGGCGCACGGGUGCGUAACGCGUGGGAAUCUGCCCUUUGCUUCGGAAUAACAGUUAGAAAUGACUGCUAAUACCGGAUGAUGUCUUCGGACCAAAGAUUUAUCGGCAAAGGAUGAGCCCGCGUAGGAUUAGGUAGUUGGUGGGGUAAAGGCCUACCAAGCCGACGAUCCAUAGCUGGUCUGAGAGGAUGAUCAGCCACACUGGGACUGAGACACGGCCCAGACUCCUACGGGAGGCAGCAGUGGGGAAUAUUGGACAAUGGGCGAAAGCCUGAUCCAGCAAUGCCGCGUGAGUGAUGAAGGCCUUAGGGUUGUAAAGCUCUUUUACCCGAGAUGAUAAUGACAGUAUCGGGAGAAUAAGCUCCGGCUAACUCCGUG
RNAcentral lists this ribosomal RNA (433 nucleotides) under uncultured bacterium. RNAcentral describes it as "bacterial SSU rRNA". It matches the Rfam family "Bacterial small subunit ribosomal RNA", at positions 29 to 507 of the family's 1533-position model. The record is from RNAcentral.